CUGCGCAUGAUGGAUAUCCCCAUGACAAUUCACAAAAGCUUGAAUGGAAACUGAAAUCUGAUGGUGGAAACCAAACGUUGAAGUAAUUUGAUAUGAUGAGAUCAUGUGUUGCAGACCUUCAUCAGAUGGAAACAAAGAAUGACUGAACAUAUAUGCCAGUACGUCGUAGGCAUCUAUCUAGCUUGCUGAGCAUUUGUUAGAGGUGCAAUACACAUAUACUUUCAAUCCAUACAAGACGAAGAAACGCCGAUUGGAAAAGCUGAUUCCAUUAAAGCAAAGAAUGGUGAUGUACCAAAGAAAGUGGCGUUCUGAUGAAUGUUAAAAGGUAUUCGAAGAACUAGACACCAAAAGUGCCACUCACAAAUCAAAGCUGUCUAAAAGGCAGAGCAUCAGAAGAAUUAGGAUAAAUAAGGAAUCCAAAAGAGACAAACCUAAUGAUGUAGCGAUUGAACAGAAAUGGGCUAUU
Molecule: long non-coding RNA, 466 nt
Organism: Saccostrea echinata
Lineage: Eukaryota; Metazoa; Mollusca; Bivalvia; Ostreida; Ostreidae
Exons: 3
Source: RefSeq, a predicted model, not a curated record